Non-coding RNA from Pelobates cultripes (western spadefoot toad), 5680 nucleotides. Lineage: Eukaryota; Metazoa; Chordata; Amphibia; Anura; Pelobatidae. The record is from the annotation of a GenBank genome assembly.
ACACCAUUUGCAGAUUGUAGAAAGAAAGAAGAAGGAUACAGAGAGAACAAAGACACAGAACGAGAGGAACGAUAGAAUCAGAGCAGUAAAGGGAGGGAGAUUUAUAAGAAUAAAGUGAGAGAGACAGUUGUGACAACCUAGGAAUGGAUUACCAUCAGCUCGGAGAUUAUAUCCGUAACUUUAGCCUUGACAACUGUGCUCAGGGUGGCCGAGGAUACAACCGGGUUCUCCUGCAGUUAUUUGGGUAUACAGGCCAUGGAAAGUCCUCCUUUAUUAACUCCUGUAAGUUUGUCUUAGACGGGGAGUAUGAAAUGAUGGCUGAGGCUGGAGUGACGUCACAUGGAGGUGCUCUCACCCUGGUGAGAAAAGCCUACAAACUAACAGACACCAUUUUCAUUGUGGAUAACAGAGGGUUUAAAAAAAUGGAUAACUUUGAGAAAAUACAGAUAAACAGCCAAUUGGGUAAGUUACAAUUGAUACAUUUAAUGUGUUAUUCAUUCAAACAGGAAAUCAGGACAACAAUGUAGAUGUUGAAUAUUUAGACAUGGGAGCUAGAGGUAUACUUAGGUCACUUGGCAUUUGGGGCAGAUAUGUACAUUGGAACCUCCUGUUAGACAUAAUUUAGCACAUGCCAUCCACUAUCUUAAGAUGUAAGCCAGCUUUAUUUAACUUGUGGCAGAGAAAAGAAUUAGAAAAUGUGUCACCGUCAUAUGAUUUAUGCUGAGUCAAACCUACUUAACCUACUUCGCCCUGCCAUUGUACCCCAAAUAAUUAUCCUCUUUAGCUUGUACCCAAUAUUGCCAUCUGCUACAGGAUUUGACUAGUGUCACAUAAUAGGGAGCUUUGAGUUUAGCUAAACAAGUCUUAAUCGUGAUAUAAUAAAGUAAGUGAUAUUUUAUAGACAUCAUUAACAUGUUUAAAGAUAGAACAGAGUGCAGUGUGAUAAUAUAUAUUCAUGCAGGAUUAAUGUAUGAUUAAUUAAGAGUACAGCAAUGUCAGGGUCAUCAUUCUGCACGAUGUAAGAUAAGCUAUUAACCAAUGAAUUGUGCUUAUCCUAACACUGUGCCAUCCAGGUAUAUCUACGAGUUUGUGAUUUUUCUUUUUUUUACCAUGUGGGCACUGGAGUGCUCCUUUAAAUAAAGAAUUGUAAAAUAUAGGGUACCAUUUUACCCCAUAGUUUCCUUUAAACAGGUCUUCUGCAUCUCCUAAGUAAUUACGUCAAAACUACUAUCCCAUAUCCUGUUGUUCACCCUCACAUUGCUGCUUAUGGUCUAAGAGAAAAUACCCCUCAUAGUAACUUGGGGGUCCAGGAACCAGUGGCAACUCUAUGGACAAUAUAUGGGGGGGCACAUUAGACAUCAUUCUCAAAACUGUGGGUGGGUGGUGGGCACAAAUAAUUUACACUGGGGAGUGGGGUAAUGUUCUGCCAUUGGUGUCAGCAUGCUGGAGUCACACAACAAAUGUCGGCAUCAUUCACAUUAGCCACCUGGCAUAUCUGUUCUGGUAUUGGCUCAUGACAUCUUUAGCAGAUAACUCCCUAUUUGCUAUCUUUAUGUGGGAUUGCAAUACUUACACACCAAAUAAGGGAACUAUCUGUUAAACAUCACCCUAAUUUGUUAUCAUCAAGUAUGAAAAUCCCACACAAGGGUACCAAUUUAGGGAGUUAUCUACUAAACAGCUGAAAGAUCAAAAUUAAAGGGACACCAGGGCCGCCAUCAGAAAUUUUGGGGCCCCUGACAAAGCACCAGGUUUGGGCCCCCCCCCCGGGCCCGCACACGCCCUACCUGGUCCGCUGACAAUGAUGCAGGACUGAAUGUGGUGUGUAUAGUGGAAGUGAAUUAGAAUAUGUGUAAUGGAUGUAGUGUUUGUGUGUAUUAGAUACUGUUUGUACAGUGAAUGCAGAGUGUGUGUUUGAGUAGUGGAUAUAGUGUGUGUACAGUGAUGUAGUGUGUGUUUGUGUAGUGGAUGUAGUGUUUGUAUGUACUAGAUGAAAUGUGUUUAGUGGAUGUAGUGCGUGUAUUAGACGCAGUGUCUGUGUAUAGUGAAUGCAGAGUGUUUCAAUGUGUGGUGGAUGUAGUGUGUGUACUGUGAAUACAGGAUGUUUGUGUAGUGGAUGCGUGUUAAUGCAGAGUGUAUGUUAGUGUAGUGAAUGCAGAUUGUGUGUCAGUAUAGUGAAUCCAUAGUGUAUGCAUAGUUUAGUGAAUGCAGAGUGUGUGUUAGUGUGUAGUGAAUGCAGAGUGUGUCAGUUAAUGCAGAGUGUAUGUUAGUGUAGUGAAUGCAGAUUGUGUGUCAGUAUAGUGAAUCCAUAGUGUAUGCAUAGUUUAGUGAAUGCAGAGUGUGUGUUAGUGUGUAGUGAAUGCAGAGUGUGUCAGUGUAAUGAAUGUAGUGUGUGUGUUAGUGCAGUGAAUGCAGAGUGUGUGUAAAUUUGUAGUGAAUGCAGAGUGUGUGUUAUGUGUAGUGAAUGCAGAGUGUGUGUUAAUGUGUAGUGAAUGCAGAGUGUGUGUUAGUGUAGUGAAUGCAGAAUGUGUUAAUGUGUAGUGAAUGCAGAGAGUGUGUUAGUGUGUAGUGGAUGCAGAGUGUGUGUUAGUGUGUAGUGGAUGCAGAGUGUGUGUUAGUGUGUAGUGGAUGCAGAGUGUGUGUUAGUGUAGUGAAUGCAGAGAGUGUGUUAAUGUGUAGUGAAUGCAGAGAGUGUGUUAGUGUGUAGCGGAUGCAGAGUGUGUGUUAGUGUAGUGAAUGCAGAGAUUGUGUUAGUGUGUAGCGGAUGCAGAGUGUGUGUGUUAGUGUGUAGCGGAUGCAGAGUGUGUGUGUUAAUGUGUAGUGAAUGCAGAGUGUUAAUGUGUAGUGAAUGCAGAGAGUGGGUUAGUGUGUAGCGGAUGCAGAGUGUGUGUUGUGUUAGUGGAUGCAGCAUGUGUGUGUGUGUUUGUUGUGUUAGUGUAUGCAGUGUGUGUGUGUGUUGUGUUAGUGUAUGCAGUGUGUGUUGUGUGUUAGUGUAUGCAGUGUGUGUUGUGUGUUAGUGUAUGCAGUGUGUGUUGUGUUAGUGUAUGCAGUGUGUGUUAGUGUAUGUGUGUUGUGUUAGUGUAUGCAGUGUGUGUGUUUGUGUUAGUGUAUGCAGUGUGUGUGUUGUGUGUUAGUGUAUGCAGUGUGUGUUGUGUUAGUGUAUGCAGUGUGUGUUGUGUGUUAGUGUAUGCAGUGUGUGUUGUGUUAGUGUAUGCAGUGUGUGUUGUGUGUUAGUGUAUGCAGUGUGUGUUGUGUGUUAGUGUAUGCAGUGUGUGUUGUGUAAAUGUGUGAUCUGGGGGGGGUGGGGGGAGGUGGAGGAAUGGGCAUUUUAACAUUAAUUUUUAAUUAAUUUAAUUAAAUGUUUCUCCCCCUUCCCUGCUUACCUGUAUCCAGGGAGGGGGGAGACUCCAUCUGUGGUGGCCCGGUGGCAUGGGGCCCCCCGGCUCUCUGUUACCGUCCGCAGAGGGGGCCCAGGCAGCACACAGCUUCUCCUCCUGUCUGCUCUCUUCUAAUAACUCUCGCGAGACCUGCGGAGUGUUGCCAUGGUAACCGGGUCUCGCGAGAGUUAUGAGGAGAGAGAGGAGGAGAAGCUGUGUGUUGCCUGGGCCCCCUCUGCGGUAACAGGGAGCCGGGGGCCCGCGGCUGCACACAUAGAUAGCGAGAUUCGCUAUCUAUGUGUGCAGCAAGGGAAAGUGGGGCCCAGGACUGCCAGAGCAGUCCGGGCCCCCCAGGGCCGCCGGGCCCGUGACAACUGUCACGGUUGUCACCCCCUGAUGGCGGCCCUGAGGGACACUAUAGUCACCUGAACAACUACAGCUCAAUGAUAAGAGAAAAUGCAGUGUUUAUAUUGCCCCUAGGGACACCUCCAAGUGGCCACUCCUCAGAUGGCCACUGGAGGUGCUUCCUGGCUCAUGAGAUGCAUUGAUUGAAAGAAUCUCUAUGAAGAGGUGCUGAUUGGCCAAAACGACAUUUGGCCCCUCCUCCUUGCCGAUUUUAGCCAGUCCAAUGUUUUCCCCAUUGGCUCAAAAUCGGCAAUUUUGAUGAUGCAAAGAAAAUAAGAAAUAGAACCAAAGAACAGAUAAAGCUCUAAAGCAAAAAGCUGCCACCCUCUAGGUACACUCUAAAAACCUAUAAUAAACAUAAAUGGAAAAAGAAAGGAAGGUGGAAUAAAAUCCCACCUAUUUUUUAAAUGUUAUAUUAUAUUUUUUUGAGUCUUUUGCUAAAUUUUAUUUUUUAGAGCUAAUUAUUAGAUUUUUUUAUAUAUCUGAUUAUUUUUUUCAUACAUAUGUUCAGUUUGUGGCACGCUUAGGUUAUAUCAUUCUGCCUGUAAGCAUCCAUUGUUACGAAUAGAUUGACACAUGCAACUGCUACUUAUGUAGCUUAUAUGUUUCAACGUGUCUCUCCAUUCGGAUGCUAAUAAAGUUUCAACACGCAUCAAUUUGGCUACGCAUGCGCAUUGGUCAUUUCCCGAUAGUGAUUGGAGGCGGGCGCAUUGAAGUUGUGUUCCGGCAACAAUCUCGACGGAAGCCGGUGUCCUUUUGCGCAUGCGCAAUGACUUAAUUGAGCGCGAAAAUGUGAAGAUAAAAGAAGACUCCGGAAGAACUGAAGAUAUACACAGCUCCUGAGGAAGUCCUGAACAAAGCGGGACGAAACACGUUGAGCCUCAUCUAUCAUCCAAUUUAAGUCCAGAGACCACAAUAUCACCACUACCGAUCGAGUUUGCAAGUAUUUUUCAGCCCUGGAAGUCGCGACCAAGGGCAGUUCAGUUCAUCUUUUUACCUAUUACUGUUUUGUUUAGUGGUUGAUGCCGGGUUUUUGUUCCCAGGUCUCAUAAUAGGACUGUAUAUUGUUACCAUAUUUACAUUGGAUGUUUAUGCACUUUACUAUUUACUCCCUUUUUUAUAUAUUUAUUGCACUGUGAUGCAAAAUAAAUUGUAUUUUUAUACUAUCUAUUUUUCGAAGUCUCCGUAGAGUAUUUACUCUUUUACAUUUAUAGUCCUCCAUUAGACUAUCAUUUUCUCUAGUGCUUAGCGCCCCCAUUAGGUGGGAUUUUAUUCCACCUUCCUUUCUUUUUCCAAUUUUGAUGAUGCCACCAAGGGGGCGGAGCUAGCACCGGAAGAGCGCGGCACUGGAAAUAAGGUGAUUUUUACUAAGUUUUAAGGGAGCUGAGGGGUGGAAAGCCACCUAAAUGGUGGGUUUAGCACUAUAGGGUCAGGAACACGUGGUUGAGUUCCUGGCCCUAUAGUGGUCCUUUAAGAAAAGCCCCUUUUGUAAUUUUUAUCUUUCACUUGUUUAGUAGAUGUCACAAUACAGCCCUGGAUUCUCUGGCCCUGAAGGUGGACCAGUUCAGGCCUAGAAUUUCCCAUGGGAUUCUUUGCAUUAGCCUGUACUUUUCCCGUUAGCUGUUCCUGAUUAUUAUUAUUAUUAUUAUUAUUAUUAUUAUUAUUAUUAUUAUUAUGUGCUUUAGAUCUGUUUGUGAAAUAUAGGUCCCCUUUCUUUCGGUGUUUAUUUGCUGAAUGUUAUAUUUUACAAAUUACAAUUUUUUUAAAUUAAAGUUCGAAUUAUUUUACAUCUUCCUGUUUUGAUUUCUUGCAGCAAAUUUACUCCCUCUUAAUCAGGAGGUGAAGUGGGCUGAAGAACAUGAUGACAUUUUAUGUAUUAUAAAUAGAAAAUCAGACUCCGA